RNAcentral lists this ribosomal RNA (578 nucleotides) under Paromalia setiger. RNAcentral describes it as "SSU rRNA". It matches the Rfam family "Eukaryotic small subunit ribosomal RNA", at positions 23 to 579 of the family's 1831-position model. Lineage: Eukaryota; Metazoa; Arthropoda; Insecta; Coleoptera; Curculionidae. The record is from RNAcentral.
GUCAUAUGCUUGUCUCAAAGAUUAAGCCAUGCAUGUCUCAGUACAAGCCAAAUUAAGGUGAAACCGCGAAAGGCUCAUUAAAUCAGUUAUGGUUCCUUAGAUCGUACUCACAAUUACUUGGAUAACUGUGGUAAUUCUAGAGCUAAUACAUGCAAACAGAGCUCCGACCGGAGACGGAAGGAGUGCUUUUAUUAGAUCAAAACCAAUCGGUGGCGGGUUCGCUCGUCAUCGUACAACUUGGUGACUCUGAAUAACUUUACGCUGAUCGCACGGUCAUCGCACCGGCGACGCAUCUUUCAAAUGUCUGCCUUAUCAACUGUCGAUGGUAGGUUCUGCGCCUACCAUGGUUGUAACGGGUAACGGGGAAUCAGGGUUCGAUUCCGGAGAGGGAGCCUGAGAAACGGCUACCACAUCCAAGGAAGGCAGCAGGCGCGCAAAUUACCCACUCCCGGCACGGGGAGGUAGUGACGAAAAAUAACGAUACGGGACUCAUCCGAGGCCCCGUAAUCGGAAUGAGUACACUCUAAACCCUUUAACGAGGAUCAAUUGGAGGGCAAGUCUGGUGCCAGCAGCCGCGG